RNAcentral lists this long non-coding RNA (275 nucleotides) under Zostera marina. Its description in RNAcentral is "long non-coding RNA (ZMAR_LNC001552)". The record is from RNAcentral. Lineage: Eukaryota; Viridiplantae; Streptophyta; Magnoliopsida; Alismatales; Zosteraceae.
AGGCGGAAGAUCGCCACCAGACCAUUCUUCAAAAAUGGACUCCCUAGCAGCAACAGCAACACUCUGCCGCUCAACAAUAAGUUGGCGUAGAGAAGGAAGAUCCAAGGUCGACGACCGAGGAUCCAGAAUAUUCAAAAUCCGAUCCAGCUCCUCAAUCUCUCCCUGAAUGAAAUCAGCAAAGAGACUCACAAGAAGAGCCAUGGAUGGAUGAAGGAAAAGGAGAACCUAGGGGCCCUAUUUAUAGACCCUAGGACAGCACAAAAGGACAAAAUGGC